RNAcentral lists this ribosomal RNA (492 nucleotides) under uncultured bacterium. RNAcentral describes it as "partial 16S ribosomal RNA". It matches the Rfam family "Bacterial small subunit ribosomal RNA", at positions 29 to 507 of the family's 1533-position model. The record is from RNAcentral.
AAUGAACGCUGGCGGCAUGCCUUACACAUGCAAGUCGAACGGUAACAGGCCUUGCGUUGCUGACGAGUGGCGAACGGGGGCGUAUUUCGUCCACACGUACCCAUUCGUUGGAGAAAAGGCAGCGCAAGCGGUGCUAAUACCGCAUGUGAUCUGAGGAUGAAAGCGGGGGACUGCGCAAGAUAAUUUGGCCUUUCGCGUUUGGAGCGGGCGACGCCGGGUGAGCUUGUUGGUGGGGUAAGGGCCUACCAAGGCGACGAUCCGUUGCCGGUCUGAGAGGAUGACAAGCCACACUGGGACUGAGACACGGUCCAGACUCCUACGGGAGGCAGCAGUGGCGAAUUUUGUACAAUGGGCGAAAGCCUGAUCCAGCAAAGCCGCGUGCGGGAAGAAGGCCUUCGGAUCGUAAACCGCUCUUAGCAGGGACGAAACGAUGUCCGCUAAUCCCGGGCCCUCAUGACGGUACCUAAACAAAAAGCACCGGCUAACUCCGUG